This 253-nucleotide ribosomal RNA is filed under the name uncultured bacterium. RNAcentral describes it as "partial 16S ribosomal RNA". It matches the Rfam family "Bacterial small subunit ribosomal RNA", at positions 524 to 776 of the family's 1533-position model. The record is from RNAcentral.
UACGUAGGGUGCAAGCGUUGUCCGGAAUUAUUGGGCGUAAAGAGCUCGUAGGCGGUUUGUCGCGUCUGCUGUGAAAACUCGGGGCUUAACUCCGGGCCUGCAGUGGGUACGGGCAGACUAGAGUGCGGUAGGGGAGACUGGAAUUCCUGGUGUAGCGGUGAAAUGCGCAGAUAUCAGGAGGAACACCGGUGGCGAAGGCGGCUACCUGGACAAUUGCUGACGCUCAGGCACGAAAGCGUGGGGAGCAAAAGGG